CCCGGUCGGAUGUGGAACGGCCAAAAGCCGGUCCGCCGAUCGGCUCGGGGUGCGGACCGACGCGGAUUGCAGCGGCGGCCCAAGCCCAGGCUUUUGAUACGCCUGCGGAGAUGCCGUCGCAGCGAUUGUGGACUGCAGCGCGCGCUGUCACGGCGUGCUUCGGCACCUGCGCGCUCCGGGCGUCGGCCAGCGGGCUCCCCAUUCGGCCCGUCUUGAAACACGGACCAAGGAGUCUGACAU
Molecule: long non-coding RNA, 240 nt
Filed under: Ricinus communis (castor bean)
Lineage: Eukaryota; Viridiplantae; Streptophyta; Magnoliopsida; Malpighiales; Euphorbiaceae
Description: long non-coding RNA (RCOM_LNC003699)
Source: RNAcentral